ACAGGGAUUGCCCUAGUAACGGCGAGUGAAGCGGCAACAGCUCAAAUUUGAAAUCUGGCUCUUUCAGAGUCCGAGUUGUAAUUUGCAGAGGGCGCUUUGGCGUUGGCAGCGGUCCAAGUUCCUUGGAACAGGACGUCACAGAGGGUGAGAAUCCCGUACGUGGUCGCUGGCCUUCGCCGUGUAAAGCCCCUUCGACGAGUCGAGUUGUUUGGGAAUGCAGCUCUAAAUGGGAGGUAAAUUUCUUCUAAAGCUAAAUACUGGCCAGAGACCGAUAGCGCACAAGUAGAGUGAUCGAAAGAUGAAAAGCACUUUGGAAAGAGAGUCAAAUAGCACGUGAAAUUGUUGAAAGGGAAGCGCUUGCAGCCAGACUUGCCUGUAGUUGCUCACCCGGGCUUUUGCCCGGUGCACUCUUCUGCGGGCAGGCCAGCAUCAGUUUGGGCGGUUGGAUAAAGGUCUCUGUCAUGUACCUCUCUUCGGGGAGGCCUUAUAGGGGAGACGUCAUGCAACCAGCCUGGACUGAGGUCCGCGCAUUUGCUAGGAUGCUGGCGUAAUGGCUGUAAGCGGCCCGUCUUGAAACACGGACCAAGGAGUCUAACAUCUAUGCGAGUGUUUGGGUGUCAAGCCCGAACGCGUAAUGAAAGUGAACGGAGGUGGGACCCCAUUAGGGUGCACCAUCGACCGAUCCUGAUGUCUUCGGAUGGAUUUGAGUAAGAGCAUGGCUGUUGGGACCCGAAAGAUGGUGAACUAUGCUUGAAUAGGGUGAAGCCAGAGGAAACUCUGGUGGAGGCUCGCAGCGGUUCUGACGUGCAAAUCGAUCGUCAAAUUUGGGCAUAGGGGCGAAAGACUAA
This 848-nucleotide ribosomal RNA is filed under the name Camarosporidiella mackenziei. RNAcentral's name for it is "eukaryotic LSU rRNA". It matches the Rfam family "Eukaryotic large subunit ribosomal RNA", at positions 68 to 934 of the family's 3401-position model. Lineage: Eukaryota; Fungi; Ascomycota; Dothideomycetes; Pleosporales. The record is from RNAcentral.